Molecule: ribosomal RNA, 892 nt
Filed under: Laccaria aff. montana GMM7630tibet
Lineage: Eukaryota; Fungi; Basidiomycota; Agaricomycetes; Agaricales; Hydnangiaceae
Also listed under: 1 other name
Description: eukaryotic LSU rRNA
Rfam family: Eukaryotic large subunit ribosomal RNA
Source: RNAcentral
AACUAACAAGGAUUCCCCUAGUAACUGCGAGUGAAGCGGGAAAAGCUCAAAUUUAAAAUCUGGCAGUCUUUGGCUGUCCGAGUUGUAAUCUAGAGAAGUAUUAUCCGCGCUGGACCGUGUACAAGUCCCCUGGAAUGGGGCGUCAUAGAGGGUGAGAAUCCCGUCUUUGACACGGACUGCCAGGGCUUUGUGAUGUGCUCUCAAAGAGUCGAGUUGUUUGGGAAUGCAGCUCAAAAUGGGUGGUAAAUUCCAUCUAAAGCUAAAUAUUGGCGAGAGACCGAUAGCGAACAAGUACCGUGAGGGAAAGAUGAAAAGAACUUUGGAAAGAGAGUUAAACAGUACGUGAAAUUGCUGAAAGGGAAACGCUUGAAGUCAGUCGCGUUGGCCAGGGAUCAACCUUGCUUUUUUGCUUGGCUUACUUUCUGGUCGAUGGGUCAGCAUCAAUUUUGACUGGUGGAAAAAGUUCAAGGGAAUGUGGCAUCUUCGGAUGUGUUAUAGCCUUUGUUCACAUACAUCAGUUGGGAUUGAGGAACUCAGCACGCCGCAAGGCCGGGUUUUUAACCACGUACGUGCUUAGGAUGCUGGCAUAAUGGCUUUAAUCGACCCGUCUUGAAACACGGACCAAGGAGUCUAACAUGCCUGCGAGUGUUUGGGUGAAAAACCCGAGCGCGUAAUGAAAGUGAAAGUUGAGAUCCCUGUCGUGGGGAGCAUUGACGCCCGGAUCUGACCUUUUGUGACGAUUCUGCGGUAGAGCAUGUAUGUUGGGACCCGAAAGAUGGUGAACUAUGCCUGAAUAGGGUGAAGCCAGAGGAAACUCUGGUGGAGGCUCGUAGCGAUUCUGACGUGCAAAUCGAUCGUCAAAUUUGGGUAUAGGGGCGAAAGACUAAUCGAA